AUUGGUCAGACCAUAGAUAAUAUAGAAGACAGCGCGCUAGCGUAUCUAGUCUCUGUGUAUCUAUGGUCGGCACGUCUGGUAGCAUCUCUGGCUGCUGUUGAUCUUGUUUUUGGAGUAAAACACGGUGGAAGCUGAAUUAGUGAGGAUGACUUCUGCUCCUGUCAUCUCUAAGCUCCUCACACAUCUUUACCUGCACAUGAGGAAAAUCACUGCUGUAGAAUGCAGAUGUUCAGAGGGAGAUGAUGCCACAUCUGGUCCAGCUGAUGGAAGGUCUUGAAGUUCUCUGACUGGCCUCGACUGAAGAUGGUCGUCUCACUGGAUUUAAGGUUCAGAUGCUCAGUAACAAACUCCACCAAUGAGCCAACAGGGAAGCUUUAGGUUUAUUAAAUGUUGCUAUGAAGGUAUCACUGUUUUUCUUUGUGAAUGCAAUGUGCUCCAACUGAAACUUGAAUUAGAACUUAGAAGUAAAUCCUUCCAUCUGAAAGGAUCUAGUUGCAUAACCUCAUAACAUUCAAAUUUUUAUUCCAGUCUUGGUUGGAAAUAGAAUCUCUGUAUUGAUUCAGGUAAAAACUGAACUUCACAGCAUGUUGAAGCAAAACAACCAGAUGAAAACUGUGAUGGUGUUGGAUUGUCAGACCGUAAUGUUGCAGCUCAAAGCAGCUUUUCUAUCUCAGUUCAUUCUGACAUUCAGCUAUGAAUCAACACAGCAGAUGGUGAUCCAUGCUGUGGAAGUCUCACAUCUCCUGAUUUAAUGGAGCUGCUUUGCACUUUUUACACUGUUUAUUCACCAACACUUUAUUUAAUAAAAGUCCCAUCUAGUUUUUAUGAGGACUGUGAUGUUUUAAUUUCUCUGUGAAUAACUGCAGUCUAAUGUAACAGCUGGAGUUGUAACAUCUGUCCUGAUAUUGAUCAUGAAGUAUUGAUCAGAAUACUUAUGGUCAGCAGUCAUUCCUAAAGUUUUACAUUAAAAUCUUUACUUGUGUUGUGGACUUUGGUAAGAAGCAGAAACGUUAGUGUUGCCAUGGAUACAUGAGUGUUAAAUUCUGUCCAUGUUUCCAUUUUGGGAAAUUCAGUCCAGUUCCAGAAUGUGGAGGAAUUUAGUCUCACAAUCACAGACAAAAAAUAUUAUCUGAAAGUCGGGUUAUUGUUGUUUAUCAGCACAAUACAAAAAGAUUAAUGUUAGAAAUAUUCCAGUUAAGACUCUAGAAUAUCAUGAUUUAUGUAAAUUUACCUCAAUAAUAUGAAUGUUCAGGUUAAGAUUGUGCAGUGAUAUUUAUUAUGUAAGUUUAGCUGAUUAAAGUUUAUGACUUUGCACUAAAAUAUUAUUUAAAUUGACAUCAUUAUUAUCAUAUUUAGGGUCAGACCCAGUAUUGAGAUUAAGAAAUCAAAUAUUCUAUAAAAUGUAAAUACACUGAACUCAUUUGGAUAUAUUUAAGUGAGACUCUACAAUAUUAUUUGACACAAAUCUAUCUAAAUCAAAAGUUUAAUAAUUUUCAUGUCAAACAUUUACUGGACUGAUUUAAAUAAUAAAAUCACUCCUUUCUAAUCCUCUGCUGUACGUUCAAACCUGAGGCCUUAAAUAGAAACACACAAGUAUCUGUUUGAAGGAACUUCUGCAGAGUCCUGGUUCCAGAACAUGAUGAUAGAAUUAUAGACAAACUUUAACAAAAGCUGCCUGAGAGUUUACAGGUUUUUAUGUUGGAUUUCUUCAGUAAUUUAAUGAGUUAUCAGCAAAAAUCAAGUGUUCAUUUGAUGAACUUCAUUUCCUAAAACAUCCAGAAUUGGAGCUCAUAUCUUUGGCAGCUGUAAAGUUUCUGCUCCUUCAAAGUUCACAACACAAUGAAUGAAUUCCUAAAACACUCUCAGUGCUGGAGAGCGUUUGUGAUGCUGAAGCAGUGAUCAGUUUUUCUGUUUCUUCUCUGGAGAUGCACAAUGAGGGACGUCUGCAGAGACUGAGAAAGAGUCUCACCACAUCCUGACAUGAGGAAAAAGACUUUAUUGAAGACUACAAUGAGAAAAACUAUCAGACAGCAGACGGCUGCAUUCAAGUCUGUAGCUGCUGAAUUCAUGGAUGAAUCAUCUGGCACUAGAGAGGAAGACCAUCAAACAUCCACGUCAGCUGAUGGAGGUCCAAGAGUCUCACCGAACAACCAACCUACAGAGUGAAGACCUUGAAUCUGAUUGGACGGCCUCCUAUUCAGCCACGUGUGAACAAAUGCCUCUAAGCUGAUUUGUUUUCUAAAAUAAAUCUAGUUUGAGUCCUAA
Molecule: long non-coding RNA, 2265 nt
Organism: Amphiprion ocellaris (clown anemonefish)
Lineage: Eukaryota; Metazoa; Chordata; Actinopteri; Pomacentridae
Exons: 4
Source: RefSeq, a predicted model, not a curated record